This 2908-nucleotide ribosomal RNA is filed under the name Streptococcus pneumoniae GA04672. RNAcentral's name for it is "bacterial LSU rRNA". It matches the Rfam family "Bacterial large subunit ribosomal RNA". Lineage: Bacteria; Bacillati; Bacillota; Bacilli; Lactobacillales; Streptococcaceae. The record is from RNAcentral.
UUAAGUUAAUAAGGGCGCACGGUGGAUGCCUUGGCACUAGGAGCCGACGAAGGACGUGACAAACGACGAUAUGCCUUGGGUAGCUGUAAGUAAGCGAUGAUCCAGGGAUUUCCGAAUGGGGGAACCCAACAGGUAAUACCUGUUACCUACAUCUGUUAAGGAUGUGAGGAGGAAGACGCAGUGAACUGAAACAUCUAAGUAGCUGCAGGAAGAGAAAGCAAAAGCGAUUGCCUUAGUAGCGGCGAGCGAAACGGCAGAAGGGCAAACCGAAGAGUUUACUCUUCGGGGUUGUAGGACUGCAAUGUGGACUCAAAGAUUAUAGAAGAAUGAUUUGGGAAGAUCAGCCAAAGAGAGUAAUAGCCUCGUAUUUAAAAUAGUCUUUGUACUUAGCAGUAUCCUGAGUACGGCGGGACACGUGAAAUCCCGUCGGAAUCUGGGAGGACCAUCUCCCAACCCUAAAUACUCCCUAGUGACCGAUAGUGAACCAGUACCGUGAGGGAAAGGUGAAAAGCACCCCGGGAGGGGAGUGAAAUAGAACCUGAAACCGUGUGCCUACAACAAGUUACGAGCCCGUUAAUGGGUGAGAGCCGUGCCUUUUGUAGAAUGAACCCGGCGAGUUACGUUAAUGAUGCCGAGGUUAAGUUGAAGAGACGGAGCCGUAGGGAAACCGAGUCUGAAUAGGGCGCCUUAGUAUCAUGACGUAGACCCGAAACCAUGUGACCUACCCAUGAGCAGGUUGAAGGUGCGGUAAGACGCACUGGAGGACCGAACCAGGGCACGUUGAAAAGUGCUUGGAUGACUUGUGGGUAGCGGAGAAAUUCCAAACGAACUUGGAGAUAGCUGGUUCUCUCCGAAAUAGCUUUAGGGCUAGCGUCGACAUUAGAGAUUCUUGGAGGUAGAGCACUGUUUGGGUGGGGGGUCCAUCCCGGAUUACCAAUCUCAGAUAAACUCCGAAUGCCAAUGAAUUAUGGUCGGCAGUCAGACUGCGAGUGCUAAGAUCCGUAGUCGAAAGGGAAACAGCCCAGACCACCAGCUAAGGUCCCAAAAUAAUUGUUAAGUGGAAAAGGAUGUGGGGUUGCACAGACAACUAGGAUGUUAGCUUAGAAGCAGCUAUUCAUUCAAAGAGUGCGUAAUAGCUCACUAGUCGAGUGACCCUGCGCCGAAAAUGUACCGGGGCUAAAACAAUUUACCGAAGCUGUGGAUACCUUUAUAGGUAUGGUAGGAGAGCGUUCUAUGUGUGAUGAAGGUAUACCGUGAGGAGUGCUGGAACGCAUAGAAGUGAGAAUGCCGGUAUGAGUAGCGAAAGACAGGUGAGAAUCCUGUCCACCGUAAGACUAAGGUUUCCAGGGGAAGGCUCGUCCGCCCUGGGUUAGUCGGGACCUAAGGAGAGACCGAAAGGUGUAUCCGAUGGACAACAGGUUGAUAUUCCUGUACUAGAGUAUGUAGUGAUGGAGGGACGCAGUAGGCUAACUAAAGCAGACGAUUGGAAGAGUCUGUCUAAGCAGUGAGGUGUGAAUUGAGUCAAAUGCUUAAUUCUAUAACAUUGAGCUGUGAUGGGGAGCGAAGUUUAGUAGCGAAGAUAGUGACGUCACACUGCCAAGAAAAGCUUCUAGCGUUUAAAACAUACUCUACCCGUACCGCAAACCGACACAGGUAGUCGAGGCGAGUAGCCUCAGGUGAGCGAGAGAACUCUCGUUAAGGAACUCGGCAAAAUGACCCCGUAACUUCGGGAGAAGGGGUGCUGACUUAAAGUCAGCCGCAGUGAAUAGGCCCAAGCAACUGUUUAUCAAAAACACAGCUCUCUGCUAAAUCGUAAGAUGAUGUAUAGGGGGUGACGCCUGCCCGGUGCUGGAAGGUUAAGAGGAGUGCUUAGCGUAAGCGAAGGUAUGAAUUGAAGCCCCAGUAAACGGCGGCCGUAACUAUAACGGUCCUAAGGUAGCGAAAUUCCUUGUCGGGUAAGUUCCGACCCGCACGAAAGGCGUAAUGAUUUGGGCACUGUCUCAACGAGAGACUCGGUGAAAUUUUAGUACCUGUGAAGAUGCAGGUUACCCGCGACAGGACGGAAAGACCCCAUGGAGCUUUACUGCAGUUUGAUAUUGAGUGUCUGUACCACAUGUACAGGAUAGGUAGGAGUCUAAGAGAUCGGGACGCCAGUUUCGAAGGAGACGCUGUUGGGAUACUACCCUUGUGUUAUGGCCACUCUAACCCAGAUAGGUGAUCCCUAUCGGAGACAGUGUCUGACGGGCAGUUUGACUGGGGCGGUCGCCUCCUAAAAGGUAACGGAGGCGCCCAAAGGUUCCCUCAGAAUGGUUGGAAACUCAUUCGCAGAGUGUAAAGGUAUAAGGGAGCUUGACUGCGAGAGCUACAACUCGAGCAGGGACGAAAGUCGGGCUUAGUGAUCCGGUGGUUCCGUAUGGAAGGGCCAUCGCUCAACGGAUAAAAGCUACCCUGGGGAUAACAGGCUUAUCUCCCCCAAGAGUCACAUCGACGGGGAGGUUUGGCACCUCGAUGUCGGCUCGUCGCAUCCUGGGGGCUGUAGUCGGUCCCCAAGGGUUGGGCUGUUCGCCCAUUAAAGCGGCACGCGAGCUGGGUUCAGAACGUCGUGAGACAGUUCGGUCCCUAUCCGUCGCGGGCGUAGGAAAUUUGAGAGGAUCUGCUCCUAGUACGAGAGGACCAGAGUGGACUUACCGCUGGUGUACCAGUUGUCUUGCCAAAGGCAUCGCUGGGUAGCUAUGUAGGGAAGGGAUAAACGCUGAAAGCAUCUAAGUGUGAAACCCACCUCAAGAUGAGAUUUCCCAUGAUUAUAUAUCAGUAAGAGCCCUGAGAGAUGAUCAGGUAGAUAGGUUAGAAGUGGAAGUGUGGCGACACAUGUAGCGGACUAAUACUAAUAGCUCGAGGACUUAUCCAA